Molecule: transfer RNA, 69 nt
Filed under: Acropyga silvestrii
Lineage: Eukaryota; Metazoa; Arthropoda; Insecta; Hymenoptera; Formicidae
Description: tRNA-Phe
Source: RNAcentral
AUUUAAAUAGCUUAUGUAUAGAAAGUAUAAUAUUGAAGAUAUUAAGAAAAUAUUAUUUAUUUUUAAAUG